AGCAGCCGCGGUAAUUCCAGCUCCAAUAGCGUAUAUUAAAGUUGUUGCAGUUAAAAGCUCGUAGUUGAAUUUCGGGACCAAUUUGUUGGUCGUGCCUCGGUACGUACUGGUAUUAUUGGUUUCUCCCAUCUGAAGAACCUCGAUGCCAUUAAUUUGGUGUCGUGGGGAAUCAGGACUGUUACUUUGAAAAAAUUAGAGUGUUUAAAGCAAGCAUACGCUUGAAUACAUUAGCAUGGAAUAAUGAAAUAGGACGUUUGAUUCUAUUUUGUUGGUUUCUAGGAUCGACGUAAUGAUUAAUAGGGAUAGUUGGGGGCAUUAGUAUUCAAUUGUCAGAGGUGAAAUUCUUGGAUUUAUUGAAGACUAACUACUGCGAAAGCAUUUGCCAAGGAUGUUUUCAUUAAUCAAGAACGAAAGUUAGGGGAUCGAAGACGAUCAGAUACCGUCGUAGUCUUAACCAUAAACUAUGCCGACUAGGGAUCGGAUGAUGUUAAUUUUUUUAAUGACUCAUUCGGCGCCUUAC
This 520-nucleotide unclassified non-coding RNA is filed under the name uncultured Scutellospora. RNAcentral describes it as "SSU rRNA". It matches the Rfam family "Eukaryotic small subunit ribosomal RNA", at positions 569 to 1091 of the family's 1831-position model. Lineage: Eukaryota; Fungi; Glomeromycota; Glomeromycetes; Diversisporales; Gigasporaceae. The record is from RNAcentral.